UACGUAGGGACCAAGCGUUGUUCGGAUUUACUGGGCGUAAAGGGCGCGUAGGCGGCGUGACAAGUCACUUGUGAAAUCUCUGGGCUUAACCCAGAACGGCCAAGUGAAACUGUUGUGCUAGAGUGCAGAAGGGGCAAUCGGAAUUCUCGGUGUAGCGGUGAAAUGCGUAGAUAUCGAGAGGAACACCAGAGGUGAAGACGGGUUGCUGGGCUGACACUGACGCUCAGGCACGAAAGCGUGGGGAGCAAACAGG
RNAcentral lists this ribosomal RNA (253 nucleotides) under uncultured bacterium. RNAcentral's name for it is "partial 16S ribosomal RNA". It matches the Rfam family "Bacterial small subunit ribosomal RNA", at positions 524 to 776 of the family's 1533-position model. The record is from RNAcentral.